Molecule: non-coding RNA, 135 nt
Organism: Triticum aestivum (bread wheat)
Lineage: Eukaryota; Viridiplantae; Streptophyta; Magnoliopsida; Poales; Poaceae
Source: Rfam
CUCCUACUCCCUCCGUUCCGAAUUACUUGUCUUGGAUUUGUCUAGAUACGGAUGUAUCUAGACUCAUUUUAGUGCUAGAUACCUCCGUAUCUAGACAAAUCCAAGACAAGUAAUUUAAAAUGGAGGGAGUACUCC